GUAUACGGCCAUACCACCCUGAAUGCCCCCGAUCUCGUCUGAUCUCGGAAGCUAAGCAGGGUCGGGCCUGGUUAGUUCUUGGGUGGGAGAUGAUGAGAAGGAAAAGAUCCCAUUCAAA
Mustela putorius furo (domestic ferret) is the source of this 118-nucleotide non-coding RNA. The record is from Rfam. Lineage: Eukaryota; Metazoa; Chordata; Mammalia; Carnivora; Mustelidae.